UUUGGAAUAUAGUCGUCAGGCUCAUAACCUGAAGGUCGUAGGUUCAAAUCCUACCCCCGCAACCA
Molecule: transfer RNA, 65 nt
Filed under: Rhodobiaceae bacterium
Lineage: Bacteria; Pseudomonadati; Pseudomonadota; Alphaproteobacteria; Hyphomicrobiales; Rhodobiaceae
Description: tRNA-Leu
Rfam family: tRNA
About the family: Transfer RNA (tRNA) molecules are approximately 80 nucleotides in length. Their secondary structure includes four short double-helical elements and three loops (D, anti-codon, and T loops).
Source: RNAcentral